RNAcentral lists this ribosomal RNA (384 nucleotides) under uncultured Desulfobulbus sp. RNAcentral's name for it is "bacterial SSU rRNA". It matches the Rfam family "Bacterial small subunit ribosomal RNA", at positions 1004 to 1382 of the family's 1533-position model. The record is from RNAcentral. Lineage: Bacteria; Pseudomonadati; Thermodesulfobacteriota; Desulfobulbia; Desulfobulbales; Desulfobulbaceae.
AAACUAGGGGGUGCUUCCAUCUGGAAGAAUCUGGAGACAGGUGCUGCAUGGCUGUCGUCAGCUCGUGUCGUGAGAUGUUGGGUUAAGUCCCGCAACGAGCGCAACCCUUGCCUUUAGUUGCCAGCAGUUCGGCUGGGCACUCUAAAGGGACUGCCGGUGUUAAACCGGAGGAAGGUGGGGAUGACGUCAAGUCCUCAUGGCCUUUAUGACCAGGGCUACACACGUACUACAAUGGCCGAUACAAAGGGCAGCGACACUGCGAGGUGAAGCCAAUCCCGUAAAAUCGGUCUCAGUCCGGAUUGGAGUCUGCAACUCGACUCCAUGAAGUUGGAAUCGCUAGUAAUCGUGGAUCAGCAUGCCACGGUGAAUACGUUCCCGGGCCUU